Molecule: ribosomal RNA, 570 nt
Filed under: uncultured bacterium
Lineage: Bacteria
Description: partial 16S ribosomal RNA
Rfam family: Bacterial small subunit ribosomal RNA
Source: RNAcentral
UGGGGAAUUUUGGACAAUGGGCGAAAGCCUGAUCCAGCAAUGCCGCGUGUGUGAAGAAGGCCUUCGGGUUGUAAAGCACUUUUGUCCGGAAAGAAAUCCUUGGCUCUAAUACAGUCGGGGGAUGACGGUACCGGAAGAAUAAGCACCGGCUAACUACGUGCCAGCAGCCGCGGUAAUACGUAGGGUGCAAGCGUUAAUCGGAAUUACUGGGCGUAAAGCGUGCGCAGGCGGUUUGCUAAGACCGAUGUGAAAUCCCCGGGCUCAACCUGGGAACUGCAUUGGUGACUGGCAGGCUAGAGUAUGGCAGAGGGGGGUAGAAUUCCACGUGUAGCAGUGAAAUGCGUAGAGAUGUGGAGGAAUACCGAUGGCGAAGGCAGCCCCCUGGGCCAAUACUGACGCUCAUGCACGAAAGCGUGGGGAGCAAACAGGAUUAGAUACCCUGGUAGUCCACGCCCUAAACGAUGUCAACUAGUUGUUGGGGAUUCAUUUCCUUAGUAACGUAGCUAACGCGUGAAGUUGACCGCCUGGGGAGUACGGUCGCAAGAUUAAAACUUGAAUGAAUUGACGGGG